CCUCCGCCUCCCAGGUUCAAGUGAUUCUCCUGCCUCAGCUUCCCAAGUAGCUGGGAUUACAGGACAAUGAAUAUGGUGGAUUGUAAUGGAUAAUACUGUGUCUACUUGAUUGGAUUGAAGGAUGCAAAGUAUUGAUCCAGGGUGUGUCCAUGAGGGUGUUGCCCAAGGAGAUUAACAUGUGCGUCAGUGGACUGGGGAAGGCAGACCCACCCUCAAUCUGUGUGGGCACCAUCUAGUCAGCUACCAGUAUGACCAGAAUAAAAGCAAGUAGAAGAACAUGAGAGAUCAGACUGGCUUAGCUUCCCAGCCUACAUCUUUCUCCUGUGCUGGAUGUUUGCUGCCCUCGAACAUCGGACUCCCAGGUUCUUCAGCUUUGGGACUCAGACUGACUUUUUUGCUCCUCAGCUUGAAGACGGUUUAUUGUGGGACCCUGUGACUGUGUCUGGAGGCUAGAAGGUUGAAAUCAAGGUAUUAGCAGAGCCAUGUUUCCUAUGAAGGCUGAAGGUUAAUGGCUUUGUUUGGUAGAACAUAACCUUCAUCUUCUUUCUGAAUAAGAAUACAUGGCGUGAAUACAAGGAAAGGAACAACAGACACUGGGUCUGUUUGAGAGUGGGGGUCACGAGGAGUGAGAGGAGCAGAAAAAAUGACUAUUGGAUACUAGGCUUAAUACU
Piliocolobus tephrosceles (Ugandan red Colobus) is the source of this 671-nucleotide long non-coding RNA. RefSeq lists it as uncharacterized. The record is from RefSeq and is a predicted model, not a curated record. NCBI's taxonomy places the organism in Eukaryota, Metazoa, Chordata, Mammalia, Primates, Cercopithecidae. The transcript is spliced from 4 exons.